Molecule: long non-coding RNA, 953 nt
Filed under: Homo sapiens (human)
Lineage: Eukaryota; Metazoa; Chordata; Mammalia; Primates; Hominidae
Description: long intergenic non-protein coding RNA 1980
Source: RNAcentral
GGUCACACUUGGGUUCAUCUUCAUGAGGUGUAAUGGCGCCGGGAUGCGCUCUCCUCUUCUCAUUUGCCAAUUUAUUGCAGAUCCCUCCUCAAAAAAGUUUUGGGACUAACUCAGCCCCAUGGAGAUCAAGGUGAAUUAGAAAAACAACAAAACAAAACAAGAUUCAUUUUAACAUCUCAUUUUUCUAUCUCCAACUUUCCCUCCCCUCCUCCCACCCCAGGAAGAAAAGACUACGUUUGUUUCUGGUGAUACAUUCAUUGUAGGUGGGUGGGUGACUUCUAGAAGAGGAAAAUCAAGAAGAUUUGGAGAAGGAGUCUUGGAAGCUCUGGUGAAGUUUUCCAAAACUGGGAAGGACAGAGCCACAGGUCUGCCUGUUCUUUUGCUUUGCCAUUUGUGUGGAUACCUAGUAGAGCAAUUUGGGUGCCAUUCUUUGAGGAAUCCAUUGGAUCUGUCAGAAAGCUGAGUCUGCUCAGCCUGUGUUAGUGGAGAAGAGGGAAGGAAACUGGCUGGAGGCCGCUGGACCCACAGAGGACAAUAGACAAUCUCCUGCUGAUGCCCACUGGAUCCAAAGAGAGAAACUCUAUAGAAUUAUGAUCUAGGUUUGACUGACUCCUGGCAAGAAGCCCUACCCGCCAGCCAAUUUGGAUGAGGUCACAGGGGUCAUCCAUCUUUCCUUCUAUGUGACUGGUUUGCUCUUGCAUAUCAUGUUUUCCGCUCUUAUGCUCCAGAUCCAUCAUGAGAAGAACAUGCCCUGGAUUCCUGCUAUCCCUUUAGCCAUGGCUCCAAAAUUAACACACACAAGGAAGACCUGAGGUCAAUCCACAGCCUGGAUUCAAGUCACCUAAUACAUAGGAGAAUCAGAGCUACCCAGCCACACUCAAUCUACGUUAACUGAACCUCAGCUGACCUGCAGAUUUAUGAGUAUGAGAAUAAAGGCUUGUUAAUGUAUAUCA